RNAcentral lists this transfer RNA (66 nucleotides) under Acanthacorydalis asiatica. RNAcentral's name for it is "tRNA-Trp". Lineage: Eukaryota; Metazoa; Arthropoda; Insecta; Megaloptera; Corydalidae. The record is from RNAcentral.
AAGGCUUUAAGUUAAUUAAACUAUUAGCCUUCAAAGCUGGAAAUAAAUAAAUAAAUUUAAGCCUUA